This is a long non-coding RNA of Rhea pennata, 410 nucleotides long. RefSeq lists it as uncharacterized. The transcript is spliced from 4 exons. The record is from RefSeq and is a predicted model, not a curated record. NCBI's taxonomy places the organism in Eukaryota, Metazoa, Chordata, Aves, Rheiformes, Rheidae.
UUUUGUCUUUGUAGAUCUGGCCAAGCACUGAAGACAGCAAGGAGAAGGCACCCAGGAAAAGUCGCUGGGUUCCAUAAGCUUCCUAUAGCUAUGUAAAUGUUAAAACCUGAAAAGCCAAACCUUAGCAACGGAUUGGAAGCAGUGAUUCUCCUAAAGUCCCCUAAGCGAAUAGUACGCUGAGCUACCAUGUCAAGCCUGUUAAGUCAUUUGAAGGAAUUUGGGAAGUCAGCACACUUUGGGCAAACACAACAGUGUCAUGAUUGAAGAAAUGCUGCCUUAGAAGCCUUGAGAUCCGCCAUUCCGGCACUGCAAGGGUCCGAUGAGCAGGGUCAAACCGACCGAAGGCAGAGGAGCGUUAGCAAUGUCCCGCUUGCUGCAGACCCCGAGGACGAUAGCUUUCAUGAGAGAGC